Molecule: ribosomal RNA, 253 nt
Filed under: uncultured bacterium
Lineage: Bacteria
Description: partial 16S ribosomal RNA
Rfam family: Bacterial small subunit ribosomal RNA
Source: RNAcentral
UACGAAGGGGGCUAGCGUUGCUCGGAAUCACUGGGCGUAAAGGGUGCGUAGGCGGGUUUUUAAGUCAGGGGUGAAAUCCUGGAGCUCAACUCCAGAACUGCCUUUGAUACUGAAGAUCUUGAGUCCGGGAGAGGUGCGUGGAACUGCGAGUGUAGAGGUGAAAUUCGUAGAUAUUCGCAAGAACACCAGUGGCGAAGGCGGCUCACUGGCCCGGUACUGACGCUGAGGCACGAAAGCGUGGGGAGCAAACAGG